GAUGAACGCUGGCGGCGUGCCUAAUACAUGCAAGUCGAGCGAACAGAUAAGGAGCUUGCUCCUUUGACGUUAGCGGCGGACGGGUGAGUAACACGUGGGUAACCUACCUAUAAGACUGGGAUAACUUCGGGAAACCGGAGCUAAUACCGGAUAAUAUUUCGAACCGCAUGGUUCGAUAGUGAAAGAUGGUUUUGCUAUCACUUAUAGAUGGACCCGCGCCGUAUUAGCUAGUUGGUAAGGUAACGGCUUACCAAGGCGACGAUACGUAGCCGACCUGAGAGGGUGAUCGGCCACACUGGAACUGAGACACGGUCCAGACUCCUACGGGAGGCAGCAGUAGGGAAUCUUCCGCAAUGGGCGGAAGCCUGACGGAGCCACGCCGCGUGAGUGAUGAAGGUCUUCGGAUCGUAAAACUCUGUUAUUAGGGAAGAACAUACGUGUAAGUAACUGUGCACGUCUUGACGGUACCUAAUCAGAAAGCCACGGCUAACUACGUG
Molecule: ribosomal RNA, 497 nt
Filed under: uncultured bacterium
Lineage: Bacteria
Description: partial 16S ribosomal RNA
Rfam family: Bacterial small subunit ribosomal RNA
Source: RNAcentral